GACGAACGCUGGCGGCGUGCUUAACACAUGCAAGUCGAACGGAAAGGCCCUGCUUUUGUGGGGUGCUCGAGGGGCGAACGGGUGAGUAACACGUGAGUAACCUGCCCUUGACUUUGGGAUAACUUCAGGAAACUGGGGCUAAUACCGGAUAGGAGCUCCUGCUGCAUGGUGGGGGUGGGAAAGUUUCGGCGGUUGGGGAUGGACUCGCGGCUUACCAGCUUGUUGGUGGGGUAGUGGCUUACCCAGGCUUGGACGGGUAGCCGGCCUGGGAGGGUGACCGGCGACAUUAGUACUAAGGUACGGACCAGACUCGAACAGGAGGCAACGGUGGGAAGUAUUACACAGUGAGCGGGAGCCUGAUACGGAGGCGCCGCGUGCGGGAUGACGGCCUUCGGGUUGUGAACCGCUUUCGCCUGUGACGAAGCGUGAGUGACGGUAAUGAAUAAAGAAGCACCGGCUAACUACGUG
Molecule: ribosomal RNA, 468 nt
Filed under: uncultured bacterium
Lineage: Bacteria
Description: partial 16S ribosomal RNA
Rfam family: Bacterial small subunit ribosomal RNA
Source: RNAcentral